This 584-nucleotide long non-coding RNA is filed under the name Gossypium barbadense (sea-island cotton). RNAcentral describes it as "long non-coding RNA (GBAR_LNC007820)". The record is from RNAcentral. Lineage: Eukaryota; Viridiplantae; Streptophyta; Magnoliopsida; Malvales; Malvaceae.
AGUUGGGGCAGUCGGGAUCGGGUCAUCCGGUCGGAUCUUUUUCGGAGCCAAUUUAGAAUUCCCGGGUCUGCCCCUCAACCAUUCGGUCCACGCUGAGCAGUUCCUUAUCACCAACCUUUCCCUCAAUGCGGAGCCGCGUCUUAAAUACUUCGCCGUCUCCGCCGCUCCUUGUGGUCAUUGCCGCCAGUUUUUCCAAGAGCUCCGCGGUGCUCCCGACGUCAAGAUGCUCAUAACUUCCUCCGAUGAUGAAAAGGAAAACAAAAUAAGCAACACUUGUAAUGAUAAAGACCAAGAAUUUACCCCUUUGUCUCAUUUUUUACCUCACAGGUUCGGCCCCGAUGAUUUGCUAGGAAAAGAUGCUCCUCUCCUCCUCGACCCUCGCCGGAACGGCUUGUCGUUUACCUCCGACGGCGGCGAGUACGACGAGUUAAAACACGCGGCUCUCGAUGCGGCGAACAUGUCGUACGCACCUUAUAGCGGGUGUCCAUCCGGAGUGGCGUUGAUAGACGUUGAAGGGAAGAUAUACAAAGGGUCUUACAUGGAAUCCGCCGCUUACAACCCGAGUCUACCGCCAGUUCAGGCGG